RNAcentral lists this ribosomal RNA (462 nucleotides) under uncultured ammonia-oxidizing beta proteobacterium. Its description in RNAcentral is "bacterial SSU rRNA". It matches the Rfam family "Bacterial small subunit ribosomal RNA", at positions 202 to 647 of the family's 1533-position model. The record is from RNAcentral. Lineage: Bacteria; Pseudomonadati; Pseudomonadota; Betaproteobacteria.
AAGCAGGGGAUCGUAAGACCUUGCGCUUUUGGAGCGGCCGAUGCCUGAUUAGCUAGUUGGUGGGGUAAGGGCCUACCAAGGCGACGAUCAGUAGUUGGUCUGAGAGGACGACCAGCCACACUGGGACUGAGACACGGCCCAGACUCCUACGGGAGGCAGCAGUGGGGAAUUUUGGACAAUGGGCGGAAGCCUGAUCCAGCAAUGCCGCGUGAGUGAAGAAGGCCUUCGGGUUGUAAAGCUCUUUCAGUCGAGAAGAAAAGGUUGCGACUAAUAAUCGCAACUUAUGACGGUAUCGACAGAAGAAGCACCGGCUAACUACGUGCCAGCAGCCGCGGUAAUACGUAGGGUGCAAGCGUUAAUCGGAAUUACUGGGCGUAAAGGGUGCGCAGGCGGCCUUGUAAGUCAGAUGUGAAAUCCCCGGGCUUAACCUGGGAACUGCGUUUGAAACUACAAGGCUAGAGU